This 613-nucleotide long non-coding RNA is filed under the name Coffea arabica (coffee). Its description in RNAcentral is "long non-coding RNA (CARA_LNC003592)". The record is from RNAcentral. Lineage: Eukaryota; Viridiplantae; Streptophyta; Magnoliopsida; Gentianales; Rubiaceae.
CAGAGUUCAUUUGAUGCUGUAUGUAUACAUCAAAACAGAACACUUAACUGUGAUUAUCUUCUCUGGUAGAAAGUAAAUACCGUGUUUAACCAUCUGGCAAAAUAAUGAAUCCCGUUUUGGGCGUAGGGUAUUAUGGUAGUAUGCCAAAAGUGGGCUUAAUCUUGUAGUUCAAUUAUUUGUCUGGUAAAACAUGAAAACCAUGAUCUAGACUGAUGAAUCCUAAGUACUUUUGGUUUAUUAAUUGCAGCUUCCUCCCGAGUGGACUGAUCAGUUUGAGUCAGGUAUUCAGGUCAGAAAUCAAAGUCCAGCACUAUUAUUGCUUCUGUCCUGCCUUUUCCUUUCUAUAUUUGGGUGUUUUGUUCAAGUUUGCUUCAUUAUUUACUCUUUUUCUUGCUUAGUCAAGUCUUGAUUUGUUUUCACCAGACUAUUGCUGUAAUUCAAGCUGGCCAUGGCCUCUUGCAGCUCGGUUCCUGCAAGAUUGUGAGUUUUGAUUACUGAUUCUUUUGCCCUUUUCUUGAACUUGAAUACUUAGCAUAGCCCGUGAAAGAAAAAGUAACUGGAGAUGAAAAUCUUUUUAUACUUCUCAGAUACCUGAAGACCUCCACUUUGUGCU